AGUGAACGCUGGCGGUAGGCCUAACACAUGCAAGUCGAACCGCAGCACAGUAAGAGCUUGCUCUUACGGGUGGCGAGUGGCGGACGGGUGGGGAAUACAUCGGAAUCUACUUUUUCGUGGGGGAUAACGUAGGGAAACUUACGCUAAUACCGCAUACGACCUACGGGUGAAAGCAGGGGAUCUUCGGACCUUGCGCGAUUGAAUGAGCCGAUGUCGGAUUAGCUAGUUGGCGGGGUAAAGGCCCACCAAGGCGACGAUCCGUAGCUGGUCUGAGAGGAUGAUCAGCCACACUGGAACUGAGACACGGUCCAGACUCCUACGGGAGGCAGCAGUGGGGAAUAUUGGACAAUGGGCGCAAGCCUGAUCCAGCCAUACCGCGUGGGUGAAGAAGGCCUUCGGGUUGUAAAGCCCUUUUGUUGGGAAAGAAAAGCAGCAGGUUAAUACCCCGCUGUUCUGACGGUACCCAAAGAAUAAGCACCGGCUAACUUCGUG
Molecule: ribosomal RNA, 492 nt
Filed under: uncultured bacterium
Lineage: Bacteria
Description: partial 16S ribosomal RNA
Rfam family: Bacterial small subunit ribosomal RNA
Source: RNAcentral